Long non-coding RNA from Nerophis ophidion (straightnose pipefish), 566 nucleotides. RefSeq lists it as uncharacterized. The transcript is spliced from 5 exons. The record is from RefSeq and is a predicted model, not a curated record. Lineage: Eukaryota; Metazoa; Chordata; Actinopteri; Syngnathiformes; Syngnathidae.
ACCUCUUGAAGCUCAUGGAGACAAUGCCAAAUGUUGGAUUUACUAUGUAUAUAUUUAUUUAUGGCGGGCUCUCUUGGGAAUUUUAAGAUGGGCGGGGCUACCACUGUCAGGUGACUACUUGGGUAGCUUUAAAAAUGACGUCAUUGUUCGUUUGGUAAAAAACAGCGUGCUUCGUCACCAGCAAACCCCACUGGGCGAGCCUCCGUCACAAAGCUGCAAAACAAACAGAGCGGUGUGAAGAGCGGCAAAGGCGGCUUGUUGUGACUUCUACGUGGAACUCGGCAGCACAUCCGUCAUAGGACCCUGCUACCGUGACCCAGGUUCUGCCUUCACCCUCACUCCGCAACCAUGGGCCAAGGACUGUUCCGACCAACAACCUGUCAUCCCUGCUGUUGCUCAAAGGAUGCAUUAGGAGCAAGAAACAGCAGCGGGAGAGAGGUGGAGAAACAAAGGACUGAAGGAACGAGAAAGCUGAAAAGCAACGGAGGACUGAAAGAACGAGAGGGCUGAAAAGCAAAAAAGAAACUUUGAAAACGACAGCACACGGAAAAAAUUAAAAAACUCUC